UUGUGGAGGAGGACGCCGAAGGUGGGGCUAAUGACUGGGGUGAAGUCGUAACAAGGUAGCCGUACCGGAAGGUGCGGCUGGAUCACCUCCUAACAGGGAGACAACAAAAUGUUUAAUAUUAUUAUUUUGUCACCUUAGGUCGAUCGGUAUCUCACGUUCUUAAUUUAUUAAGAAUUUCAUUUCCUAAGUUUUUCUAGGUCACACCCAUUAUUUUCCCUGGGCCAUUAGCUCAGGUGGUUAGAGCGCACCCCUGAUAAGGGUGAGGUCCCUGGUUCAAGUCCAGGAUGGCCCAUAUCUCUAUGUUGGGGGUAUAGCUCAGUUGGUAGAGCGCCUGCUUUGCAAGCAGGAUGUCAGCGGUUCGAGUCCGCUUACCUCCACUGAUUACCACCUCUUCCAUAACCGGUAGAAAGGGAAUGUUUUGAGUUGUGAUCAAAUUCUGAAAGAAUCUAGCUUCCUAAUGAAACCAUUAAGAUGCUGGACUCAUUGAAUGAAUUUCAUUGUUUUCAGAGAACCUUGACAACUGCAUAGAUUAUUUUUUAAAGACAAUAAGCAUCUUUAAUGAUGCAGAUUUUUUAUUUGUGCGAAUGCAUUAAUAACAAUUCUAUUAAGCUGAUGCUUCAAUUUUUGAAGUUAUUGGUCAAGCUACAA
This 648-nucleotide unclassified non-coding RNA is filed under the name uncultured Prochlorococcus sp. RNAcentral's name for it is "partial 16S-23S ribosomal RNA intergenic spacer; may also contain 16S ribosomal RNA and 23S ribosomal RNA". The stretch from base 305 to 377 matches the Rfam family "tRNA". Lineage: Bacteria; Bacillati; Cyanobacteriota; Cyanophyceae; Synechococcales; Prochlorococcaceae. The record is from RNAcentral.